AAUUUUUCUUUACUACUUUCCUUUUAUCUUAAAUUAGUGACGUAGCAGUAUAAGCCCAGUACGCACAAACUUGUUGCUGCUAAAACUUCGAGGUCCUCCAUUGUUGCUAGCUCAAAGACGACUGAACUCGGCACGCGAGUGUAAACAGGCAACUUAUUAACCAUCGAUCAACACGAGCCUCGCACGAGGGACGAGGCGAGCCACGAGGCGAG
Long non-coding RNA from Aricia agestis (brown argus), 212 nucleotides. RefSeq lists it as uncharacterized. Lineage: Eukaryota; Metazoa; Arthropoda; Insecta; Lepidoptera; Lycaenidae. The transcript has 4 exons. The record is from RefSeq and is a predicted model, not a curated record.